UACGAAGGGGGCUAGCGUUGCUCGGAAUCACUGGGCGUAAAGCGCACGUAGGCGGGCCGUUAAGUCGGGGGUGAAAUCCUGGAGCUCAACUCCAGAACUGCCUUCGAUACUGGCGAUCUUGAGUCUGGGAGAGGUGAGUGGAACUCCGAGUGUAGAGGUGAAAUUCGUAGAUAUUCGGAAGAACACCAGUGGCGAAGGCGGCUCACUGGCCCGGUACUGACGCUGAGGUGCGAAAGCGUGGGGAGCAAACAGG
This 253-nucleotide ribosomal RNA is filed under the name uncultured bacterium. RNAcentral describes it as "partial 16S ribosomal RNA". It matches the Rfam family "Bacterial small subunit ribosomal RNA", at positions 524 to 776 of the family's 1533-position model. The record is from RNAcentral.